CGAGGUGUUUGUUCAGCUGGAUGACUGUAGAUGCGCUUCAGACUCUGUCCUCCAUCUCCGCACAUCAGAUGAACCUGAGGGAGAACUGAGUUCAUUCCUCAUCCUGAGGAACCAGAGUGACGGUUUGAACUAAAACCGGUAGUUCAGCUAGUUUGUCAUCAUUUACUCGGCCUCAUGUUGCUCCAAACCUGCAGGACUUUGUUUGUUCUGCCUCAGAAGAAAUAAACACAGAUGUGCUGACGCUCCAGAAAAGGUCCUGUGAGGGUGAAGCUGUUAUCAGGCGGAGGGUGGAGCUGAUGUUUGACCAGAUCCACAUGCUGAAGUUCAGAGCGCUGGAGGAGUUGGAGUUUGCAGCUCCUCUGGAGGAGGUGAAUGGUCUUAAGGACAGAAGGGCGGCGCUAGCUAACACACACACACACUCACACACACUCACUCACACACACACUCGCUCACUCACUCUCUCACACACACACAUAGUUCAGUCAGACACAGCCAUACGAGAAUAGUCGAAUGCUGCUGUUUUGCAGAUUGUAAUGUAGUUUUUAUAUGUUUCGUUUUGAGUGUGAUUAUAAAAGCCAGACGUGGUUGCCAGAACUGCAAAUGCCGAUGUUCUUGACUCCAGCUGAUGAAGAUGAAGAUGAUGAAGAUGAGACUGAUGUGACAUUAGACGUGAAUGAACUGCUGAACAUGUAACUCCAGUAAUUCAUCAUCCACCCGUGUCUUCACAACUACACCUUCACUAAUGAGGUUAAUAAAACGAGCAGUGAUGGAUUAUGGUUUUACAGUAGUGACGCCGCUGGUCACAUGACAGCCUCCUGCGAAGCUCCUGAGAAACUCUGCUCAAGUGCACCGAGGGCAAAAGCUGUAAAACACAAAGAUGCUUACACCAGAUGUUGAUUUCAUUUAGGUAAUAGAAGUUAAUUGAUCAAGAAAAUCUAUUUAUGACUUUAUUUUUGACUGCAUUUUUACACAAGUGCCUCAAAUGUUUAACAGCACUGUAGCUUUGCAGGAGGUUUCUCAAAGCGUCUCGGAGACACCGUUCUUCUGGAUUGAGUCUGUCUCAGUUUGUUCUGUUUCUUCACGUGACUCCAGACAGACUGAUGAUGAUCAGAUCAGAGCUCUGUGUGCAGCACUAACAUAUAUCUCACUGCAUUAUUACAAUUAAUGCAAAAACUGUUAUUUCCUACUGACACACUACAGCAAAAGAUAGAAAUAACUGACUCAAAACCAUUUUUAGCUGCUGAUAAUAUUAGUGUUCUAAUGAUUUUGGCCACCACUGUAUAUAUACAGGAUAUAUAUAUAUAAUAUUAAAUACACACACACACACACCAUGAUUACCAUGGUAUACAUUUAAAAGUUUGGGGCUGAAAGAAGUUUCUACUGCUCAUUAAGGGUGAAUUUAUUUAAUCAUAAAUACAGUAAAAACAGUGAAAUAUUAUUAUAAUGUAAAACAGCUGUUUUCUGUGUGAAUCUGUUAAAGUGUAAUGUAUUUCUGUGAUGCACAGCUGUAUUUUCAGCAUCAUUCCUCCAGUCUUCAGUGUCACAUGAUCUUCAGAAAUCAGUAUAAUAUGCUGAUCUGCUGCUCGAGAAACAUUUCUGAUUAUUAUCAAUGUUGAACACAGUCGUGCUGCACAAUAUUUUUGUGGAAACUGUGAUGCAUUGUAUUUUUCAGGAUUCUCAGAUGAACAGAAAGUUCAGAAGAACAGCAUUUAUUUGAAAUAGAAAUCUUCUGUAACAUUAUACCUUUCUUUAUUGACACUUUUGAUCAAUUUAAUGCGUCCUUGA
Molecule: long non-coding RNA, 1785 nt
Filed under: Sinocyclocheilus grahami
Lineage: Eukaryota; Metazoa; Chordata; Actinopteri; Cypriniformes; Cyprinidae
Description: lncRNA (ENSSGRG00000011474.1)
Source: RNAcentral